RNAcentral lists this ribosomal RNA (2932 nucleotides) under Escherichia coli. RNAcentral describes it as "bacterial LSU rRNA". It matches the Rfam family "Bacterial large subunit ribosomal RNA". The record is from RNAcentral. Lineage: Bacteria; Pseudomonadati; Pseudomonadota; Gammaproteobacteria; Enterobacterales; Enterobacteriaceae.
GGGUUGUGAGGUUAAGCGACUAAGCGUACACGGUGGAUGCCCUGGCAGUCAGAGGCGAUGAAGGACGUGCUAAUCUGCGAUAAGCGUCGGUAAGGUGAUAUGAACCGUUAUAACCGGCGAUUUCCGAAUGGGGAAACCCAGUGUGAUUCGUCACACUAUCAUUAACUGAAUCCAUAGGUUAAUGAGGCGAACCGGGGGAACUGAAACAUCUAAGUACCCCGAGGAAAAGAAAUCAACCGAGAUUCCCCCAGUAGCGGCGAGCGAACGGGGAGGAGCCCAGAGCCUGAAUCAGUGUGUGUGUUAGUGGAAGCGUCUGGAAAGGCGCGCGAUACAGGGUGACAGCCCCGUACACAAAAAUGCACAUAUUGUGAGCUCGAUGAGUAGGGCGGGACACGUGGUAUCCUGUCUGAAUAUGGGGGGACCAUCCUCCAAGGCUAAAUACUCCUGACUGACCGAUAGUGAACCAGUACCGUGAGGGAAAGGCGAAAAGAACCCCGGCGAGGGGAGUGAAAAAGAACCUGAAACCGUGUACGUACAAGCAGUGGGAGCACGCUUAGGCGUGUGACUGCGUACCUUUUGUAUAAUGGGUCAGCGACUUAUAUUCUGUAGCAAGGUUAACCGAAUAGGGGAGCCGAAGGGAAACCGAGUCUUAACUGGGCGUUAAGUUGCAGGGUAUAGACCCGAAACCCGGUGAUCUAGCCAUGGGCAGGUUGAAGGUUGGGUAACACUAACUGGAGGACCGAACCGACUAAUGUUGAAAAAUUAGCGGAUGACUUGUGGCUGGGGGUGAAAGGCCAAUCAAACCGGGAGAUAGCUGGUUCUCCCCGAAAGCUAUUUAGGUAGCGCCUCGUGAAUUCAUCUCCGGGGGUAGAGCACUGUUUCGGCAAGGGGGUCAUCCCGACUUACCAACCCGAUGCAAACUGCGAAUACCGGAGAAUGUUAUCACGGGAGACACACGGCGGGUGCUAACGUCCGUCGUGAAGAGGGAAACAACCCAGACCGCCAGCUAAGGUCCCAAAGUCAUGGUUAAGUGGGAAACGAUGUGGGAAGGCCCAGACAGCCAGGAUGUUGGCUUAGAAGCAGCCAUCAUUUAAAGAAAGCGUAAUAGCUCACUGGUCGAGUCGGCCUGCGCGGAAGAUGUAACGGGGCUAAACCAUGCACCGAAGCUGCGGCAGCGACGCUGAUGCGUUGUUGGGUAGGGGAGCGUUCUGUAAGCCUGCGAAGGUGUGCUGUGAGGCAUGCUGGAGGUAUCAGAAGUGCGAAUGCUGACAUAAGUAACGAUAAAGCGGGUGAAAAGCCCGCUCGCCGGAAGACCAAGGGUUCCUGUCCAACGUUAAUCGGGGCAGGGUGAGUCGACCCCUAAGGCGAGGCCGAAAGGCGUAGUCGAUGGGAAACAGGUUAAUAUUCCUGUACUUGGUGUUACUGCGAAGGGGGGACGGAGAAGGCUAUGUUGGCCGGGCGACGGUUGUCCCGGUUUAAGCGUGUAGGCUGGUUUUCCAGGCAAAUCCGGAAAAUCAAGGCUGAGGCGUGAUGACGAGGCACUACGGUGCUGAAGCAACAAAUGCCCUGCUUCCAGGAAAAGCCUCUAAGCAUCAGGUAACAUCAAAUCGUACCCCAAACCGACACAGGUGGUCAGGUAGAGAAUACCAAGGCGCUUGAGAGAACUCGGGUGAAGGAACUAGGCAAAAUGGUGCCGUAACUUCGGGAGAAGGCACGCUGAUAUGUAGGUGAAGUCCCUCGCGGAUGGAGCUGAAAUCAGUCGAAGAUACCAGCUGGCUGCAACUGUUUAUUAAAAACACAGCACUGUGCAAACACGAAAGUGGACGUAUACGGUGUGACGCCUGCCCGGUGCCGGAAGGUUAAUUGAUGGGGUUAGCCGCAAGGCGAAGCUCUUGAUCGAAGCCCCGGUAAACGGCGGCCGUAACUAUAACGGUCCUAAGGUAGCGAAAUUCCUUGUCGGGUAAGUUCCGACCUGCACGAAUGGCGUAAUGAUGGCCAGGCUGUCUCCACCCGAGACUCAGUGAAAUUGAACUCGCUGUGAAGAUGCAGUGUACCCGCGGCAAGACGGAAAGACCCCGUGAACCUUUACUAUAGCUUGACACUGAACAUUGAGCCUUGAUGUGUAGGAUAGGUGGGAGGCUUUGAAGUGUGGACGCCAGUCUGCAUGGAGCCGACCUUGAAAUACCACCCUUUAAUGUUUGAUGUUCUAACGUUGACCCGUAAUCCGGGUUGCGGACAGUGUCUGGUGGGUAGUUUGACUGGGGCGGUCUCCUCCUAAAGAGUAACGGAGGAGCACGAAGGUUGGCUAAUCCUGGUCGGACAUCAGGAGGUUAGUGCAAUGGCAUAAGCCAGCUUGACUGCGAGCGUGACGGCGCGAGCAGGUGCGAAAGCAGGUCAUAGUGAUCCGGUGGUUCUGAAUGGAAGGGCCAUCGCUCAACGGAUAAAAGGUACUCCGGGGAUAACAGGCUGAUACCGCCCAAGAGUUCAUAUCGACGGCGGUGUUUGGCACCUCGAUGUCGGCUCAUCACAUCCUGGGGCUGAAGUAGGUCCCAAGGGUAUGGCUGUUCGCCAUUUAAAGUGGUACGCGAGCUGGGUUUAGAACGUCGUGAGACAGUUCGGUCCCUAUCUGCCGUGGGCGCUGGAGAACUGAGGGGGGCUGCUCCUAGUACGAGAGGACCGGAGUGGACGCAUCACUGGUGUUCGGGUUGUCAUGCCAAUGGCACUGCCCGGUAGCUAAAUGCGGAAGAGAUAAGUGCUGAAAGCAUCUAAGCACGAAACUUGCCCCGAGAUGAGUUCUCCCUGACUCCUUGAGAGUCCUGAAGGAACGUUGAAGACGACGACGUUGAUAGGCCGGGUGUGUAAGCGCAGCGAUGCGUUGAGCUAACCGGUACUAAUGAACCGUGAGGCUUAACCUUACAACGCCGAAGCUGUU